UACGUAGGGUGCAAGCGUUGUCCGGAAUUAUUGGGCGUAAAGAGCUCGUAGGCGGUUUGUCGCGUCUGCUGUGAAAACCCGAGGCUCAACCUCGGGCCUGCAGUGGGUACGGGCAGACUAGAGUGCGGUAGGGGAGAUUGGAAUUCCUGGUGUAGCGGUGGAAUGCGCAGAUAUCAGGAGGAACACCAAUGGCGAAGGCAGGUCUCUGGGCCGUAACUGACGCUGAGGAGCGAAAGCGUGGGGAGCGAACAGG
RNAcentral lists this ribosomal RNA (253 nucleotides) under uncultured bacterium. Its description in RNAcentral is "partial 16S ribosomal RNA". It matches the Rfam family "Bacterial small subunit ribosomal RNA", at positions 524 to 776 of the family's 1533-position model. The record is from RNAcentral.